AGGAUAAACGCUGGCGGCGUGCCUAACACAUGCAAGUCGAACGCGCUUUCGGGCUUCGGUGCGAGAGCGAGUGGCGGACGGGUGAGUAACACAUGGGUACCUACCUUGGAGUGAGGGAUACCGGCGAGAAAUCGCCGACAAUACCGCAUAGGCUUCUUCACAAGGGAAGCAAAGUGACGCGAGUCACGCUUUGAGAUGGGCCUGUGGCCGAUUAGCUAGUUGGGGGGGUAACGGCUUCCCAAGGCGACGAUCGGUAGCUGGUCUGAGAGGACGAUCAGCCACACUGGGAUUGAGAACGGCCCAGACUCCUACGGGGGCAGCAGUGAGGAAUUUUCCGCAAUGGAGGCAACUCUGACGGAGCAACGCCGCGUGCAGGAGGAAGGUUUUCGGAUCGUAAACUGCUUUUCUCGGGGACGAGCAAGGACGGUACCCGAGGAAGAAGCCCCGGCUAACUACGCGCCAGCAGCCGC
RNAcentral lists this ribosomal RNA (470 nucleotides) under uncultured bacterium. RNAcentral describes it as "SSU rRNA". It matches the Rfam family "Bacterial small subunit ribosomal RNA", at positions 26 to 518 of the family's 1533-position model. The record is from RNAcentral.